UCCUGACUAAAGACGUAUUUAUAAACGUGUGUAUGGUUCAUGUAAUGCUUUUAGCUUUUAUCUGUUCCCUUUGACCACGAUCUUGUUACAAAUUUUUUAUCACCAUUGUUUAUUUAUCAACUACCACAUACGUCGUAAUCGUGUCUCCCAGAGUUCUCAACUCUAAAGUGCUUAUAUUAAAUUGGCAAAAUUUCUCCUCGUAGUGUAUCCCCAUCAAUUUCCGGGAUCAGUCCAGUUGCAAACUACAUCAUAUUCUGAGUUAUGAUGACAGCACUUACUACCGUCGUGCUGUUAGUUAAGACACCUCACUGGUACACAGGGAUAUUAUUUUCAGUGUGUAGAGAGUGUGAUUGAGUAAACUUUGAUGCUAGUUUAUUAUGGUGACAUCAGAAUGUUAUCACUCAGAGUUAAGGCAAUACUAGUGUUUCCUAACUUGUGGUGAUUGAUGUAACUCAGACAUUUUAAUGUAAGUGUUGCUCUUAUUUGAACACAUUAUGACAUAGUCUUUUCAAGUGUUGAGGGAAUCUUUGUAUUACUAUGAUAACAAGGCAGAAGAUUCAGUGAUAUAACUGUGAUACCCCUGAAGGGCUCUUGAUCUGAGGAAUUUUGAUACCAUAAUACUUUUGUGUUGUAAGACUUCGUCUACAUCACCAGUUUGUCUGUGUUAGUGGGAGAGAGAGAGAGAGAGAGAGAGAGAGAGAGAACUUCUUCCUUCACACUCACCAUAUAUAUUCCCUUCCUUCCUUCCCUGCUUUAUUAUAAAGCAAGUUUUACUACCUCCACUUUCUCGCGUGUUUCUUCUCCCCCAGAGAGCAAGUCCCAGCUGGAGGAGGAGGUGAGCGAGCAGGAAGCAGAGGUGAACGAGGUGGAAGAGUCAGGAGCAGAUAAAGCUGGUGAAGCAGCAGAGGAUGGAGAGGCGAAAGACGAAGAUAAAGGCGGCGAGGAAGAUAAGAGCGGUGAAGAUGGCACAGAAGAGGGAGAAAGUGAAGAGCAGAAGGAAGGUGAGGUAGACGAGGCAGAAGGAGAGAAGUCAGACGAGGGAGCAGAGAAGACGUCUGAUAAGGAAGAAGUGGAAGAAGAGAAGGAAGAGAGUGAAGAAAAGGAGGCAGGAGAAGAGGAAAUAAGUAAGGAAGAUGAAGGAGACGCAACUGGAGAGGGAGAGAAAGGAGGAGAUAAAGACACAUCAGAGACAGAAAAAGAAGAGUAGAGCAUAUUGAUAUUAUAUAUAUAUAUAUAU
Cherax quadricarinatus is the source of this 1237-nucleotide non-coding RNA. Lineage: Eukaryota; Metazoa; Arthropoda; Malacostraca; Decapoda; Parastacidae. The record is from RefSeq and is a predicted model, not a curated record.